RNAcentral lists this ribosomal RNA (442 nucleotides) under uncultured bacterium. RNAcentral's name for it is "bacterial SSU rRNA". It matches the Rfam family "Bacterial small subunit ribosomal RNA", at positions 958 to 1399 of the family's 1533-position model. The record is from RNAcentral.
AACGCGAAGAACCUUACCUAGGCUUGACAUGCACGCGAAUAUUGCAGAGAUGUAAUAGCCUUUCGGGGCGCGUGCACAGGUGCUGCAUGGCUGUCGUCAGCUCGUGCCGUGAGGUGUUGGGUUAAGUCCCGCAACGAGCGCAACCCUUGUCAUUAGUUACCAGCACGUAAAGGUGGGGACUCUAAUGAGACUGCCUGGGUUAACCAGGAGGAAGGUGAGGAUGACGUCAAGUCCGCAUGGCCCUUAUGUCUAGGGCUACACACGUGCUACAAUGGCAGGUACAAUGGGAAGCGAAACCGCGAGGUGGAGCAAAUCUAAGAAAGCCUGCCCCAGUUCAGAUUGUAGUCUGCAACUCGACUACAUGAAGUUGGAAUUGCUAGUAAUGGCGUGUCAGCAACAACGCCGUGAAUACGUUCCCGGGCCUUGUACACACCGCUCGCGA